AACGAACGCUGGCGGCAGGCCUAACACAUGCAAGUCGAACGCCCGUAGCAAUACGGGAGUGGCAGACGGGUGAGUAACGCGUGGGAACGUGCCCUUCGGUUCGGAAUAACUCAGGGAAACUUGAGCUAAUACCGGAUACGUCCGUAAGGAGAAAGAUUUAUCGCCGAAGGAUCGGCCCGCGUCGGAUUAGCUAGUUGGUGAGGUAACGGCCCACCAAGGCGACGAUCCGUAGCUGGUCUGAGAGGANGAUCAGCCACACUGGGACUGAGACACGGCCCAGACUCCUACGGGAGGCAGCAGUGGGGAAUAUUGGACAAUGGGCGAAAGCCUGAUCCAGCCAUGCCGCGUGAGUGAAGAAGGCCUUAGGGUUGUAAAGCUCUUUCAGCGGGAAGAUAAUGAC
RNAcentral lists this ribosomal RNA (400 nucleotides) under uncultured bacterium. RNAcentral describes it as "bacterial SSU rRNA". It matches the Rfam family "Bacterial small subunit ribosomal RNA", at positions 29 to 455 of the family's 1533-position model. The record is from RNAcentral.